This 75-nucleotide transfer RNA is filed under the name Anisotremus scapularis. RNAcentral's name for it is "tRNA-Lys". It matches the Rfam family "tRNA". Rfam says of the family: Transfer RNA (tRNA) molecules are approximately 80 nucleotides in length. Their secondary structure includes four short double-helical elements and three loops (D, anti-codon, and T loops). Lineage: Eukaryota; Metazoa; Chordata; Actinopteri; Lutjaniformes; Haemulidae. The record is from RNAcentral.
CACUAAGAAGCUUUGCAGGGCCUAAGCGUUAGCCUUUUAAGCUAAAGACCGGUGGCUCCCGCCCACCCUUAGUGA